RNAcentral lists this transfer RNA (76 nucleotides) under Epinephelus itajara (Atlantic goliath grouper). RNAcentral describes it as "tRNA-Val". Lineage: Eukaryota; Metazoa; Chordata; Actinopteri; Perciformes; Serranidae. The record is from RNAcentral.
CAAUUCGAGUUGUCCUGAUACCGACUCGCUAGCCCAGCCAAUCAAAAACAACAAGACAUAAUUACUAAACCCAAAA